UCUCAGCAGUGGGACAGCCUCAGUGAGCCACUUGUAGUAGUGCGAGUAGGUUGUGAGGUCGGCCACAGUGGUUUACAUACACCAUCUCCAUUGCAGAAAGCCAGUGCCCUGACCACCUGUUGCACACACCUCACCGCCGCCCAACAUCUGCACCACUACUACUACUACUAAAUCAGAGGUAACCCGUCAACAACUACAAUACAUCAACAUGAAGACCCUAACAACAUUGAUCACCUUCUUCGUCACCUACUUCUGCCUGGUCCUCCUCUUCCAGGAAGCUGCUGCAGCACCGCGCUGUGACAGUCACGACAGUCCAGCUCCUACCAACUGCAAGUACGGCACUGUGAGGGACUGGUGCCGCAACGGAGUCUGCGCCAAGGGACCCGGAGAGAGUUGCGGAGGAUACUGGUAUGAGUACGGCAAGUGUGGCGGAGGAACCUUCUGUCUGUGUGGUACCUGCAUCGGCUGCUCCACUAUCGAUGGUACUUGCUCGCAAAGUAGUCCUGCGAUAAUCUGUUAGAGCGCCCACCCUUCCCUGGCCAACACCCCGAGGUGCCUUUUACCUACCACUUGACCCUUCACCCUUUACCACCAUCUUACUCAGGCAUAUAUUGUUGACUCCAGGUCUUCCCCACCACCUGCUGUCAUCUUCUCCUCGCUUCUAUUGACUCCAGCUCUUCCCCACCACCUGCUGUCAUCUUCUCCUGGUUCCUGUUGACUCCAGGUCUUCCCCACCUGCCUCUACCAAGUUCAGAACAAACUAGGACCAAAACGCCGAAUCUUUGCCGCCACUUUCCCCACGCUUCUAUGAGAUCCUUCAAAGCGACCGCAAGAGUUCUUACUGUAGGGGAUUUCUCCGACCACGUCGAUACAACACAUCUUUCCACCUCCAGAGGACUUUCUGGCCAUCUCCACAAGUGCCAUCUCCAUAGGACGCGUUUGGCCACGUCCAUCGUGGGCCUGUCUCCCUACGCCCACAGGACCUUUCUGGCCAGACCUAUAGGAUAUGUCUGGUCAGAUUUCGUGCUCUUUUAUAUAGGUUUUUAUAUCUGCUAAAUAUGCUAUAUCCUGUUGCAUAUAUGCGCUUGUGAUAAUUGAGUACAAAUCUUAUUAUUAGGAGGUAUUUAGCCAAGGUAUAAUAACUGCACCUCCAUCUAUAUAUACCCAGGGGACGUAACAGUUCACUUACAAUGCAAUUGUUGAUAUAAGUAAAGUAUAAUUAGUCUUAAAGCCAUAAUUAAUAGCAAAACAAUUACACUAUUGACGCAUUAAUUAACCCUUUCCCUCAUACUGUCAUCCGGUAUUUCUUCACUGUGCACUUCCAUCCACUAAUACAAGUCUCCAACAGGGUGGUGCAUCCUCAACUUGUAAACAUUUCCAUAUUUUGUGACUGGUCCUUCUGACUCAACUAUACGGCUUUGAUACCCACACUCUGUUAAGGUAAUUUAUCAACUAAUAAUAUGAACAGUUUCGAGUUAUUUAUUGUAUACAUCUGACUUAAUGACAUGUCGGAUACUACCACAUACUUAAGGCCUUCAGGUACUGUUGUGCAAUCCUCAAAAAUAAGUUUACGUUUAGUUUAUACUUUUAUUAUACAGGUUAUGAGUAAAUGUAAGUACUUUUGUUUAGUAUGGACAGCCAGGGUUAUGUUUAUUUUGGGUUAACCUUGUGUGUGUUUGGGGCCACCAGCUGCUUUUGUCAGUAUAUUCAGGUCAAGUUUCUCCUGAAGUUAAUAUACCCAGGUCAAGUUUCUCCUGAAGUUAACAUACCCAGGUCAAGUUUCUCCUGAAGUUAACAUACCCAGGUCAAGUUUCUCCUGAAGUUAACAUACCCAGGUCAAGUUUCUCCUGAAGUUAACAUACCCAGGUCAAGUUUCUCCUGAAGUUAACAUACCCAGGUCAAGUUUCUCCUGAAGUCAACAUAUCCAGGUCAAGUUUCUCCUGAAGUCAUCAACUUUCCUGAGGUCGACAUACCCGGGUCAAGUUCUCUUAAGUCAUCACCUUCCCUGAAGUCAACAUACCCAGGUCAAGUUUCCUGAAGUCAUCUUACCUGGGGUCAUCAACUCUCCUGAAGUCAUCCUACCCGGGGUUAUGAACUACCUGAGGUCAACCAUAUUUAUCUGAGGUCAUCAACUACCAGUCAUCAACCUUCUGUAUUUUAAUUGAAGAAUCAUCUACAACCACCUGUACUGGGACCACCUGUACUGGGACCACCUGUACUGGGACCACCUCUACUGGGACCACCUCUACUGGGACCACCUCUACUGGGACCACCUCUACUGGGACCACCUCUACUGGGACCACCUGUACUGGGACCACCUCUACUGGGACCACCUCUACUGGGACCACCUCUACUGGGACCACCUCUACUGGGACCACCUGUACUGGGACCACCUGUACUGGGACCACCUGUACUGGGACCACCUCUACUGGGACCACCUCUACUGGGACCACCUGUACUGGGACCACUCAGGUUAGGUUAAUCAACUGGUCACCUGGGAUCAAUCAAUCUCUACCUGGGUUUGAUAUACAGUGAAACCUCUAUUUAACGGACUAUAUUGAGAGAAAAUUCCGUUAUAAUUAGGUUUCGUUAGAUGCGAAUCCUCCAUCUAACAAACUGAAUAGAGAUGGAAAGUCUGUUAUAUCAAGGGUCCGUUAGAUGUGAAACACCCCCAUCUGGAGAUAUAAGUCCGUUAUAUGGAGGAUUCACUGAGGUUACCUGUAGUUGAUGAACCUUGAGACAACACUCACCACGUACCUGAUGCGCCGCACCUGCCUUGUCCCAAUGAUGUAAUUCAACUGGGUUUGAACACAAUAAAGGCACAUAUUCAUAACA
This 2835-nucleotide unclassified non-coding RNA is filed under the name Homarus americanus (American lobster). Its description in RNAcentral is "neuroparsin-A-like, transcript variant X1". Lineage: Eukaryota; Metazoa; Arthropoda; Malacostraca; Decapoda; Nephropidae. The record is from RNAcentral.